RNAcentral lists this ribosomal RNA (598 nucleotides) under uncultured bacterium. RNAcentral's name for it is "bacterial SSU rRNA". It matches the Rfam family "Bacterial small subunit ribosomal RNA", at positions 910 to 1501 of the family's 1533-position model. The record is from RNAcentral.
UUGACGGGGGCUCACACAAGCGGUGGAGGAUGUGGCUUAAUUCGAGGCUACGCGAAGAACCUUAUCCAGGCCUUGACAUGUACGGAUGCUGCCCGUGAAAGCGGGUUAGUUGCCUUCGGGUGAAACGUGCACAGGUGCUGCAUGGCUGUCGUCAGCUCGUGUCGUGAGAUGUCGGGUUAAGUCCCUUAACGAGCGAAACCCUUGUCUUUAGUUGCCAGCGAGUCAUGUCGGGGACUCUAAAGAGACUGCCGGUGUUAAACCGGAGGAAGGUGGGGAUGACGUCAAGUCCUCAUGGCCUUUAUGGCCUGGGCUGCACACGUCCUACAAUGGCAUAUACAAAGGGAUGCUACCUCGCGAGAGCAAGCAAAUCCCAAAAAGUAUGCCCCAGUUCGGAUUGCAGGCUGCAACUCGCCUGCAUGAAGCCGGAAUCGCUAGUAAUCGUGGAUCAGCAUGCCACGGUGAAUAUGUUCCUGAGCCUUGUACACACCGCCCGUCAAGCCACGAAAGUGGGGGGGGCUUAAAGUCGCCAAGCUAACCGUAAGGAGGCAGGCGCCUAGAGUCAACUCCGUGAUUGGGACUAAGUCGUAACAAGGUAACC